Long non-coding RNA from Orcinus orca (killer whale), 4781 nucleotides. RefSeq lists it as uncharacterized. The record is from RefSeq and is a predicted model, not a curated record. The transcript is spliced from 4 exons. Lineage: Eukaryota; Metazoa; Chordata; Mammalia; Artiodactyla; Delphinidae.
UGCAUCUCACAAGUUUUGUUAUGUAUUUUUUUCAUAGUUUUUCAAGUCUAAAUGUUUUGUAAUUUUUAUUAAGACUUUAUCUUUAAUCCACAAUAUAUUUAGGGGUAUUUUUAUUUCUAAUUUAACAGUAUUAUGGAUAGAAAAUAUGAUUUGUAUACUACAAGCUAUUUAAAAUUUGUUGAGGCUUCCUUUGCUAAAGUGAUCAAUGUGUGUUUGAAAAGGAUAUAUAUUCUUUUUUCAGAUGCAGGCUUCUACACAUCUAUACUGGAUCAGGUUAACCAAAUUAGCUCUUCAUAUCUUACAUAACUUUUAUCCUUUUUUAUCUACUUGAUCCAUCAGAUCCUGAUAAAAGUGUAUUGAAAAUAUUCUACUGAGAAUAUGAAUUAAUCAACUUCUCUUUAUAAUUUAGUCAUGUUAAGUGCAUACAAAUUCAUAAUCAUUGUAUGUUCUUUUUUUUUUUUUUUUGGCUGUGCUGGGUCUUCAUUUCUGCACAUAGGCUUUCUCUAGUUGUGGCGAGUGGGGGCUACUCUUUGUUGUGGUGCACAGGCUUCUCAUUGUGGUGGCUUCUCUUGUUGUGGAGCACGGGCUCUAGGUGCGAGGGCGUCAGUAGUUGUGGUACGCAGGCUCAGUAGUUGUGGUGCAUGGGCUUAGUUGCUCCUCGGCAUGUGAGAUCUUCCCGGACCAGGGCUCGAACCCGUGUUCCCUGAACUGGCAGGUGGAUUCUUAACCACUGUGCCACCAUGGAAGCCCCUCAUUAUAUAUUCUUGAUGGGAUGUUGCUUUUAUGAUGUAUACUUUAGACUUAAAUUUUAUUUGGUCUGAUAGAAAUAUUGCUAGGCAUAGGUAUUAGUUUCCCAUGGCUGCCAUAACAAAUUACCACAAACUGGGUGACUCAAACCACAGAAAUUUAUUUUCUCAUGUUUCUGGAGGCUAAAUGUCAGUAACAAGGUAUUAGUAGGGCUGUGCUCCCUCCUAAUCCUGUAGGAGAGGAUCCCUCCUUGCCUCUUCCAGCUUCAGAUAACCCUUGACAUCCCUUGGCUUGUGGCAGCAUAACUCCAAUCUGGGUCUCCACAACCACAUGGCCAUCUUUCUAUGUGUCUGUGUGUCUCUCUUCUCAUAAGGACACCAAUCAUAUUGGAUUAAGGAUCCAUCCUACUCCAGUAUGACCUCAUCUUAACUAAUUACAUCUGCAAUGACUAUUUCCAAAUAAGGUCACAUUCUGAGGGGCUGGGGGUUAGAACUUCAACAUAUUGUUUUGGGGGACACAACUCAAUCCAUAACCACACAUUUAUUUUUGGUUUGCAUUGGAUGGGUAUAUCUUUUUCUAACUUUUUAUUUUCAAUCUUUCUUUGUGGUUUUGCUUUAGGUAUACUUCUUAUAAACUUUGUUCAUUUUUUAUCUAAUCUGCAAGUCUAUCUUUUAAUAGAUUAUCUGUUUACAUUUAUUAUAAUGACUAAUAUAUUUUAACUUAUUUCUGCCAUAUUUAGUUUUCUAUUUACCACCCCUUUUCUUUGCUUCAUUGUUAUUUUCCUUUCCAGCUAGCCUAGACUCCCCCCACAAAGCAGAGUCUGAGAUAAGGGCUUGUUGGCAGCUUAUUUUAGGAAAUGAUUCCAGGAAGAGUAGAGGAGGGGGCUGAAUGGAAAGCUGAUCACCACCAUGAGCAAAGGGACCCACUACAGACCCUCAGAGGAGGUAUAUAGAAUGCAGCCUUGUCUAUAGAGAUGUUAAUAGUGUUUUUUGAAUGUGGCUGUAUCAUUUUAAUUUUCUCUUUAUGUAUCAUAUAUCAUUGUUAUGUGUUUGAAGCAGAGGGUAUUCCUCCCAGCAUGAACUUACAUCAGCGUCUUGGCUGUCAUUUAACUUUCACAUAAUCCUAUGAGGUACUUUAUCACCUCCAUUUUAGAGAAAUUGAGUCUCAGAGAGGUGAAGUAACUUGCCUGAAGUCACACAGCCAAAAAGGGAUGGAGUCAGAACUCAUACUCUGGUCUGUUUGAUUCCACAGCCAUUCCUCUUAACCACAAACUCUACUGUGUUAUGUGGUGUUGGGUGCAAGUCGAAGCUAGCCCAUGUUUACUUGAGUUUCAGUGGCACCUCUUAUCUCAACCUCAUCAGUCCUCAUAUGGGGGGGAAGAAGAGCAAGCUACUGGACACCAAGCAACUAGAUGGUAUCUGUGUGGUUUGACCCCAUCUCUGUCCAAACAGGAGUAUUCUAGAGAGACCCUGAAAAUUACAGAAGCAAAGAGAUUUCAUAACCUUUAUUAAAGAAGGGUUUUUGUUUUUGUUUCUGUUUUGGGCCCACAGCUCUAUCUACUCCCCACAGAGUGUGGAUUACUAGGUAAAUCAGGUAAUUAUUGCCUAAGUCAGGGACUACUGUGAUUGAGAAAUUAACCAUGUCUGUUUUUCUUCUGCAGGCUCACUGGAAAAGAAUGUGAGGUAUUUUCCCCUCUUCCUCUCCAGAGGCCCCUGUGUUUUGGAGGGCUGGGCUUCUCUUGCCCCAGGGAAGAGUUAGAGGCCUUAGAUUUUCUAAGGGUCUGGAGAGUUAGCACUACUUGUUAGAGAUGGAGAGGGCUGGGGAGGGGCCCUGGGGCCCAGAGGUCAUUAAAGGCUGGCAGGACCCUUGAGUGCUGGGCCUCCACCAGGCACUCUGGAGGUGGCAGGGCCUUUGGGGAGGGCCUAAGAAGGGGGAAGAGAUGUCUGGGGGCCCUUGGUUUGGAGAUGUUGCUGUGGGCAGCAACAGCAGCCUCUAACUGGUCUACUAGGGCUUGGACCAUAGGCAACUCAGCAGUGACCAUCACAGACCUGGUGCCCUUUGCCAAGUUUCGGGAAUCCUGAAGUACUCGGAGUUCUGCGUGGAAGGAGAGUGAAGGGCCCUGAAAAGUGGCUGGGAUUGAAUUAUCUGAGAUCCUGGUAGGUGGGGGUCUAAGUAUGAUUUAAUUUGAUUUAGAAAAUUCGUGAAAUGUGUCAUGGAACACAUUCCUAAGUGUUGUGGAACAAUUUAUAUCAGUUACGCUAAUAAUGAUCAAAUCCUGAGGGAAUUUUUCUAACAUAUUUGGUAAAAUAGGUCUUACUAUUUUUUUAAUCUUUUGGAAAUGGUUGAUCAAUAACUGACAGGAUAUAACUAUUCCAAGCCCUUCUUCUGGUAAAAAUAUCCUCAUCCUGGUAAUUUAAAUUCCAAAUUACCUCCAGAUGAGGCUUUAAAAACACCCUGUGAUUAAAUCCACACCAAAUGGAGUUUCUGUGGGAACCUUUGCUGACUCAGAGGGACGACCUGUGAGUUUUUUGAAAGGCCCAGGAUCUGGACUGGGCUAGAAAUGAGACUUGGGGCUGAGGAACCCAUGACUAAGCCUUGGGGUUCCUGGCCCCGGACGCUUGCCCAGAGCUGAACGUUCGACUGAAAGGCCUUAGAAGGAGCCCGCUGCGAAUCUCUCUGGAAUCUCAGGACCCUUUCUCACCUACCCUUAUUAGACCAAGGAGGCAGAGCUGCAGGGGUGGGACCGACAGGCAUUAGGCUGGGCCUGGGGGUUGGGAGCGAGCCAGUGCCUGAGUCUGUGCAUCUGUAUGUGUCUGUGUUUGAGUCUGCGUGUUUGUCUCUGCGUGUGUGUGUGUGUGUGUGCGCGCGCCGCGUGCGUCCUUGCCAGGGAGAGGGCGUUAGGAAGGCCCUUGAUUCUAGGUUUCCUAAGAGAAAGUGGUUCACAGCACAGGUGUCCAAAUUUCUUGGACCAGAAGCCCGCCAGGGUCUCGCAGACCACCUGUAGCCCAGCACACGUGGCUCUGGCCUGUGUUGCGGGCAAGGAACAGGAUCUUCUUUUUAGCUGAGAGCGGUGGGCACAAGAAGGAGCAGGGUGGAGAGUGUGGGGGGAGCCGGCCAGCACCCUGGGCGAGGGGAUGGGGAAACCGAGGCAGGGAGGGCAAACUUUACGCCAAAGCCCUCAGAACAACGGGUUAAUUUCCAGCAGGAGGGCUGAGCCUUGCGGCGCGCCGUCCCCCAUGGCGUGCGCACGCACUGACGCUAGGCCCCGCCCCCACCCGCCAUUUUCUCUCCAGUUCCCCGCCCGCCUGGGGGACGCUUCCUCCAGUGGUGCGGAAUGCCAGAAGGGGCACCGUUUUUUUCGAGCUCUGCUUUAGUUAGGCGCUCUGCUGGGCACAUGCCACUUGGGAUCUCAUUGAAUGUGCUUGGUGACUGUAAUCUAAGGUUUGUUACCGCUAUUUUACAGGUGAGGAAACUGAUGCCCAGAGAGGGGAAGUGGGUUGCUCAAGAGAACGGGCUGAUGAGUGUCAGAGCUCUGUGAUCCUGAUGACUCAGCCUAUGUAAGCUUCAACGUCUUCAUCUGAAAAAUGGGAUGAUAGUAUUUACCUUGUUGGCUGUUGUGUGGAUUAAAUGAGGCCAUGCCCAUGGAUGAACAAUGUUGGAUGCCCAAUAAUCAACCAAUAAUUGGAAGCUUUAUUCACAAUAACAACGGUGGUAGCAACAAAAGCAGCCAAAGCACCUGGAUGAGCACAGAAGCAUCUGGAUGAUCACAAAAGCAAGGGUGUCCCUCGUUUUCAUCUUGCACAAGGCUUUGCAGUUUGUGCAGCUGCCUCUGCAGGGAGCGCUGGGGUCAGAAUCUUGCUUGGCACCGCAGCAACCUCGGGUAACUCUUUACCGGUUGGAGUCGCAGUUUCCCAUCUGGACAACGGGGGCAAUACUUCACAGUUGUUGAGGAUUAAGGCCCAUUCUGUCCAUGCCAUUUGAUUCCACAAGCUGGAAGAAUUGCUGCUCUCUCCAUUGUUUCCCUAGAUCCCUGU